This 24-nucleotide non-coding RNA is filed under the name Arabidopsis thaliana (thale cress). The record is from RNAcentral. Lineage: Eukaryota; Viridiplantae; Streptophyta; Magnoliopsida; Brassicales; Brassicaceae.
GACAAUCUACAUAAUGCGCGCGCU